Long non-coding RNA from Salvelinus fontinalis (brook trout), 1889 nucleotides. RefSeq lists it as uncharacterized. Lineage: Eukaryota; Metazoa; Chordata; Actinopteri; Salmoniformes; Salmonidae. The record is from RefSeq and is a predicted model, not a curated record. The transcript is spliced from 3 exons.
GUGAACACUAUUGGAACGCUGAGCCAUUGACUGCACCAGACGGUAAUAUGCUAGUGGGUUUCUUUUGACAAUGAAGCACAGGACUACAGACGUAUCGUUUUAAACCUAGAAGACCUAUAGACGGGAGUAGGCAAGAAGGACUAGUAACGUUUAGUGGGUCAGAGAAGUAUGGCAAGGAGCCACGGCAUGAAUCACGCAUCCAGGUCAAGGCUUGCAAUAUCAGAAGGAACAUAAAGCACUCCGUGCUAUCAGCAGGUCAGCAGGAACAUGGACCACUCCGUGCCAGUGAGUUUGCUGGGUUAUGGAACUCCAGAGCAGCACAUUAACAAACCUGCCACACGGUUGUCACCUAUCCACAGACCUUCAACUGACACAUUUUGGGGAUGACCAAAUGCAAUUGUUUUUUUCUUCAUAUAAACAACUAAUAUAAGUCCAUGUGACAGCAUGCAGUGGUCUGAUUGGGAGAUUAAAAUAGAUGCAUUAUGCACCUUUCAUCACUGCACAUGUUGCUGAACAAAAUCAACCCGUUUGUUUGGGUCAUUGAUAUGGGAAAUUUACAUACGAAUAGUCAGUUCAUAAGCAUUGAGUGUAACAGAGAGACUGCUGCUGUUCUCCCAGGUAAGGACCUUGCUUCCGUACAAUUGGUCCAGCAUCGUCCGGGUUAGGGGAGGGUUUGGCCGAGGGGUAGGCCGUCAUUGUAAAUAAGAUUUUGUUCUUUAACUGACUUGCCUAGUUAAAUAAAGGUUUCAAUAAAAUAACUCCAGGGUCCUGUAGUGAAAGACGGCUAUGUAAUAUUGAUCUAGGAACAGCUCCCUCUUUGUCAAUGGAAUCAUUCAUUGUGAUAUAAAAGAAAAAGGCUAAACUGAUCCUAAAUCAGUACACCCUACUCUGAGAGGCCCUGGUCUGUCUGCAUUGCUGCUUUUCUAGUGAUUUAACUCCCAUUGAAUCACCACCAAAAACACUAAGAAUUAUCCUAGUCAGUAACUUGGCUGACUAAAAAAAACGUAGUUUUCCCAUCUACGUAACAUUGCAAAAAAAAAAUGUUUUUAAAUCAACUUUGUCCAAAAAAAAAUGAUGCAGAAAAGUUCAAACAUGUUUUUGAUCACUUCUAGAUUAGACUACUGCCAUGCACUAUUCGUCGACUACCCGGAUAAAGCACAAAAUAAACUUCAGUUAGUGCUAAACACGGUAGAAUCUUGACUAGAACCCCCCUCCAAAAUAAUGUGAUCAUAUUACUCCAGUGCUAGCCUCUACACUGGCUUCCCAUUAUGGUGUAAUGGCAAGUCUACAAAGCAUUACAUGGACUUGCUCCUAUCUAUCUUUCUGAUUUGGUCCUGCCGUACAUACCUACACGUACGCUACGUUCACAAGACACAGGCCUCCUUACUGUCCCUAGAAUUUCUACGUUUUCUCUUAUAGAGCUGCAUUUUUAUGAAAUGGUCUGCCUAUCCAUGUGAGAGAUGCAGACUCGGUCUUGACCUUUAAGUCUUCACUCAAGACUCAUCUCUUCGGUAGGUCCUAUGAUUGAGUGUAGUCUGGUCGAGGGGUGUGAAGGUGAAAGGAAAGGCACUGGAGCAACGAACCGUCCUUGCUGUCUCUGCCUGGCCGGGUUCCCUCCUCUCCAGCGGGAUUCUCUGCCUCUAACCCUACUACGAGGGCUGAGUCACCGCCAAUGUCUUCACUAGUUGAACAUGUUAUUAAUCCAACUACGUGAAAGUCCUUAGGUGUGUUUGAAUACUAACUACCCUAACAUACAAUUUGCAACAGAAAUGUAAUAUGUAGUAUACAAGCAGUGGACAGUAUUUGCGUACUUUUAGGGACCAUAAUGCAAUUCUUCCGAAAAUGGGCUUGGCUUCACUACAUUUUCAAAUUUGAAGAAAAUAUGCAGC